UCUCUAGUAGCUCAAUGGUAGAGCCAUCGGCUGUUAACCGAUUGGUCGUAGGUUCGAAUCCUAUCUAGAGAG
RNAcentral lists this transfer RNA (72 nucleotides) under Trachelomonas volvocina. RNAcentral describes it as "tRNA-Asn". It matches the Rfam family "tRNA". From Rfam's summary of the family: Transfer RNA (tRNA) molecules are approximately 80 nucleotides in length. Their secondary structure includes four short double-helical elements and three loops (D, anti-codon, and T loops). The record is from RNAcentral. Lineage: Eukaryota; Euglenozoa; Euglenophyceae; Euglenales; Euglenaceae.